UUAAGUGACUAAGCGUACAAGGUGGAUGCCUUGGCAAUCAGAGGCGAUGAAGGACGUGCUAAUCUGCGAAAAGCUUGGAUGAGUCGAUAAGAGGCGUUUAAUCCAAGAUGUCCGAAUGGGGAAACCCAGUAGAUGAAGAAUCUACUAUCACUUACUGAAUACAUAGGUAAGUGAGGCAAACCGGGAGAACUGAAACAUCUAAGUACCCCGAGGAAAAGAAAUCAACCGAGAUUUCGUUAGUAGCGGCGAGCGAACGCGAAGGAGCCUGUUAGUGAUAAUGACAGAGACAGAGGAACAAGCUGGGAAGCUUGGCGAUACAGGGUGAUAGCCCCGUACUCGAAGUCCAGGUCAUGGUACUAAGCUAACGACAAGUAGGGCGGGACACGUGAUAUCCUGUUUGAAGAUGGGGGGACCAUCCUCCAAGGCUAAAUACUCCUGAUUGACCGAUAGUGAACCAGUACUGUGAAGGAAAGGCGAAAAGAACCCCGGUGAGGGGAGUGAAAUAGAACCUGAAACCUUGUACGUACAAGCAGUGGGAGCCCUUUAAGGGUGACUGCGUACCUUUUGUAUAAUGGGUCAGCGACUUAUAUUUUGUAGCGAGGUUAACCGAAUAGGGGAGCCGAAGGGAAACCGAGUCUUAACUGGGCGUCUAGUUGCAAGGUAUAGACCCGAAACCCGGUGAUCUAGCCAUGGGCAGGUUGAAGGUUGGGUAACACUAACUGGAGGACCGAACCGACUAAUGUUGAAAAAUUAGCGGAUGACUUGUGGCUGGGGGUGAAAGGCCAAUCAAACCGGGAGAUAGCUGGUUCUCCCCGAAAUCUAUUUAGGUAGAGCCUUGAGCGGACACCUUCGGGGGUAGAGCACUGUUUCGGCUAGGGGUCCAUCCCGGAUUACCAACCCGAUGCAAACUACGAAUACCGAAGAGUGAUACUCAGGAGACACACGGCGGGUGCUAACGUCCGUCGUGGAGAGGGAAACAACCCAGACCGCCAGCUAAGGUCCCAAAGUCUAUAUUAAGUGGGAAACGAAGUGGGAAGGCUUAGACAGCUAGGAUGUUGGCUUAGAAGCAGCCAUCAUUUAAAGAAAGCGUAAUAGCUCACUAGUCGAGUCGGCCUGCGCGGAAGAUGUAACGGGGCUCAAAUAUAGCACCGAAGCUGCGGCAUCAGACGAAAGUCUGUUGGGUAGGGGAGCGUUCUGUAAGCGGAUGAAGGUGAAUCGAGAGGUUUGCUGGACGUAUCAGAAGUGCGAAUGCUGACAUAAGUAACGAUAAAACGGGUGAAAAACCCGUUCGCCGGAAGACCAAGGGUUCCUGUCCAACGUUAAUCGGGGCAGGGUGAGUCGGCCCCUAAGGCGAGGCUGAAAAGCGUAGUCGAUGGGAAACGGGUUAAUAUUCCCGUACUUGGAUAAACUGCGAUGUGGGGACGGAGCAGGUUAGGUUAUCGCACUGUUGGAUAUGUGCGUUUAAGUUUGUAGGUGGGAAGUUUAGGCAAAUCCGGACUUCUAUAAACACUGAGAGAUGAUGACGAGGCUCUACGGAGCUGAAGUAACCGAUACCACACUUCCAGGAAAAGCCACUAAGCUUCAGGUUUAUCUAAACCGUACUGAAAACCGACACAGGUGGUCAGGUAGAGAAUACUCAGGCGCUUGAGAGAACUCGGGUGAAGGAACUAGGCAAAAUAGCACCGUAACUUCGGGAGAAGGUGCGCCGGCGUAGAUUGUAGUCCCUUGCGGAUGAAGGUUGAACCGGUCGAAGAUACCAGCUGGCUGCAACUGUUUAUUAAAAACACAGCACUCUGCAAACACGAAAGUGGACGUAUAGGGUGUGACGCCUGCCCGGUGCUGGAAGGUUAAUUGAAGAUGUGCAAGCAUCGGAUCGAAGCCCCAGUAAACGGCGGCCGUAACUAUAACGGUCCUAAGGUAGCGAAAUUCCUUGUCGGGU
RNAcentral lists this ribosomal RNA (1939 nucleotides) under human gut metagenome. RNAcentral describes it as "bacterial LSU rRNA". It matches the Rfam family "Bacterial large subunit ribosomal RNA", at positions 1 to 1977 of the family's 2925-position model. The record is from RNAcentral.